UGCACCCUUGUUAACAUGUUUUUUACCACAAAUUAUUUUACAAAGUAAGGUUAUACAAACAACAAUAUAUGUCCGGCCUUUUCUCAAUGCACGACAGAGCCUUUUCUCAACACACGGCAGAGUAGAGGCCAUGUACACAUUGUUAAAGAAUGAGAAUAUCAGUCUUAUGUAUGGCUGGAUGGAUUGUACCUGCAAAAAUUCCCUACAAAUAAACAUAUCUUCUUUGCUGAAUGUAGCUUCACCAAUCAAACCUGAAGAAUCCCAGAAAAAAUCAAUCAUAGACUUCACAUGGAAUCAAACUUCAUAUGAAGAUGAAUUGUUGCCUAAAACUGCUAGAAAAAACAUGUUCAACUGAAUUGUUUUCGGCACUGGAUCAACUCAUAAUCUUACUUAUACAUUAAAAUGUAUGAUGAUUAUAAACUGAGAUACUUUUUUAGAGCGGGUAAAAAAGAAUGUAUAGGGACUGCCAGUAGCAUAAUUGAUGGUUACAUGAAACAUCUAAAAUUUUAAGAAUCAAACAUGAUCUAAGGAAGUGACACACAUCUGCAAGUAUCUAAUAAUAAAAUCCAUAUGAAAGAUAACCUCCAUUGAUUGAAAAAUUGCGAGUUCCACUCCUUUGCUUCAAUAGCAAUGGCCACUUAGUCCAGCACAUCCCCUUUGUCCUAGAUCAGUAGAAAACAAAAAUGGAUACACAUCUAUACAGGCCUACUCCUAUCAUAGUUUAUACAUAGCAACAAACUGAGAUUACAUAUGGCUACAUAAUAAGAUUCCUUUGCAUCAUCGGUGUUCUUACUUUGAAAUAUGGUAGCGGCAAAUUGAAAGAUUCUAAUGUGUUAGUUUUGGCACAACGAGCUUCGGCCUCCUUGACAUCCAGCUGCCUAUUGGCAAGCAAUUUUUGAAUCAUCUCUGGUACACACCAUGCGCAUAGUUAGCGUGAUUAUAGCAUUGUAGGCAACAAAAAGGAAUCCAUAUGUAAUCUGAAUCUUCACUGAACUUUUUACGUUUGACCGUCCAGGACCUCGGUCACACAAAAUUUGACAGCUCAAACUUUUACCUUUACCAGUCUUCCAUCAUCCAUGGCGAAUCCAUGGCAUACUUGGCUUCACAUUGAGAUGGUUCAUCACCUUCAUCUCACACGACUUGUCACACUGCAUAUCCACAAACCAAUCCAGUUAAUGUUUGAUGACUGAAAAAAAUUUAGAGUAAAUCGACAGAUGCAUGAAUAAAUCAAUCGUUGCGUUGCAACGGGAGAAAAAAAAACAUCACAAACACGCCACCAAGCUCUAGCACCUUCGCCUACAACAUGGAAAUCAAGCAUACUCGACGCCCAUGCAAUGGGCCCCACUAUGAUCUUGCACCCUUGCGGCUCAACCGGCGACAUCGUCGGCGGGUCAAGGCAGCGGCAGAGCAGGCGCGACACAGAUGCCAUGAGCUGCUCGGCCACCUUUCCUCAAAAUACAACACAACAACAAAGGAAACUUGGCUAGAGAUCGCACUUGAACACUUAGCUGGAAUAGAGAUGAUUAAAACUUUCAAGAAUACAAAUUUGGCUGACCGUUACAGUGGGAGACGCAGUGUAUAUGACGGCGAAAACGGGCAAGGAAAAAAUAGGAAAUGAUUAAAUGUGUUUUUACCUUAUGACAACAUCCUUUUGCCCUGCAUCACAUACAGUAAUGAUGUCACAAGCAUGCUCUUGACGAGAACGAUUCACAUGUGCUAGCGACCAGCAGAGGAUGGAGAAAAGAAGGGCAGAAGAGGGAGGCUUGUAUCUAUCAAGACACCAGCAUAUAAUUCAAGCUUUGUGAAGAUACCAAUAAGAGUAAAAUCACUCAAAGCUAAUACGCAACCUUAUAGCAAUAUACUACACUGCGUAUAU
RNAcentral lists this long non-coding RNA (1876 nucleotides) under Triticum aestivum (bread wheat). RNAcentral describes it as "long non-coding RNA (TAES_LNC010351)". The record is from RNAcentral. Lineage: Eukaryota; Viridiplantae; Streptophyta; Magnoliopsida; Poales; Poaceae.